AUUUAAAUAGUUUAUAAAAAAUUUUAAUUUGUGGAGUUAAAGAUAAAACUAUAGUUUUUUUAAAUA
This 66-nucleotide transfer RNA is filed under the name Triaenodes qinglingensis. RNAcentral describes it as "tRNA-His". The record is from RNAcentral. Lineage: Eukaryota; Metazoa; Arthropoda; Insecta; Trichoptera; Leptoceridae.